UACGGAGGGUGCGAGCGUUACUCGGAAUUACUGGGCGUAAAGGGCGCGUAGGCGGCCGGGCAAGUCUGGUGUGAAAGCCCAGGGCUCAACCCUGGAAGGGCACUGGAAACUGCAAGGCUUGAGUCAGGUAGAGGGAGGCGGAAUUCCCGGUGUAGCGGUGAAAUGCGUAGAUAUCGGGAGGAAGGCCGGUGGCGAAGGCGGCCUCCUGGGCCGUUCCUGACGCUGAGGCCCGAAAGCUAGGGGAGCAAACCGG
Molecule: ribosomal RNA, 253 nt
Filed under: uncultured microorganism
Description: partial 16S ribosomal RNA
Rfam family: Bacterial small subunit ribosomal RNA
Source: RNAcentral